GGUUCCCUGGGGCGUUUGUGAUCCAUAUCUCGACGCUAACCUGACAAAGCACAAAAAACAGGGAGUCAUCCCUACGUCCUGUGCGCAAGCCCGUCAUGAGCGGGACGCCUAAUGGACGCACAUUGACGCCCGACCUGGUAAACCAGGUUCCGCAUCGCAGAUUUGACACGGCUCUCCGGGGCGCCG
Molecule: non-coding RNA, 186 nt
Filed under: Desulfovibrio sp.
Lineage: Bacteria; Pseudomonadati; Thermodesulfobacteriota; Desulfovibrionia; Desulfovibrionales; Desulfovibrionaceae
Description: 6S RNA
Rfam family: 6S / SsrS RNA
About the family: E. coli 6S RNA was the first non coding RNA to be sequenced, but its function was unknown until recently. It consists of 184 nucleotides that fold into an extended hairpin structure with a large single-stranded internal bulge. The 6S RNA specifically associates with RNA polymerase holoenzyme containing the sigma70 specificity factor.
Source: RNAcentral